RNAcentral lists this ribosomal RNA (756 nucleotides) under Triticum aestivum (bread wheat). RNAcentral describes it as "partial small subunit ribosomal RNA". The record is from RNAcentral. Lineage: Eukaryota; Viridiplantae; Streptophyta; Magnoliopsida; Poales; Poaceae.
AUGGACCAGACGACAUCGGGUUCGGCGAGCACGGGUGGGACGACGGCAUCUUCUUCCCUGGCGGUGGUGCCAGACCUCUGCUUCGGUGACUCGAACUCCCAGGAGCUGCAAGAGAGCAACGCCGGCCAAUUGUGGUGGUCUGAAGGCCUCCGGGCGCCAAACCACCACACAGUCCCGACGCCGACCAGCCAUCUCCGGUGGACAGAUGGACAAUGGUCAAUCCAAGCAAUUCUGAUCAAGUGGAGUAACACAAUGGGAGGACCCAUAGCCCUGUUACAGGUAGCAAUUCACAAUUUGGUUGGUCCCUGUUGUUGUUCUUCCUCCAAACAAACCCAUGUUGAUGUUCUUCCUCCAAACAGGAGAACCCCUGUCGUUGUUCUUACUCGAUUUGCUUGGUCCGCCAGUCACAAUUUGGAGGAAGCGAGAGCAGGAGAACCAGUGAGGAAGAGAGGCGUGACGAGGCGACCUGGCUGCUCGCCGACUAGGUCAAUUGGCCGGAUCCGGAGCUCCGGCGUUGGGAGGCUGAGGUGCUGGAGUCGCCGGCGCAGGAGUCGCACAGCAGGCGCGACGGGCAGGUGUCUGCAGGCGCUGGAGGCUGUGCUGCUACAGCAGGCGCGACGGGCAGGAGUCGCCGGCGGCUGGAGGCGCUGUAGCAACAGCGGGCGUGACGGGAUGUUUUUUAAUGGUGAUGCCAUGGAUGUUGGUUCCCGUGGCCUCAAGGAGUAUGGCACCCAAACCGCUGAAUUCAUUGACUAG